GGCCUGCUCUUGAUCGCGGCGGACGGGUGAGUAAUGCCUAGGAAUCUGCCUGGUAGUGGGGGACAACGUUUCGAAAGGAACGCUAAUACCGCAUACGUCCUACGGGAGAAAGCAGGGGACCUUCGGGCCUUGCGCUAUCAGAUGAGCCUAGGUCGGAUUAGCUAGUUGGUGGGGUAAUGGCUCACCAAGGCGACGAUCCGUAACUGGUCUGAGAGGAUGAUCAGUCACACUGGAACUGAGACACGGUCCAGACUCCUACGGGAGGCAGCAGUGGGGAAUAUUGGACAAUGGGCGAAAGCCUGAUCCAGCCAUGCCGCGUGUGUGAAGAAGGUCUUCGGAUUGUAAAGCACUUUAAGUUGGGAGGAAGGGCAGUAAGCUAAUACCUUGCUGUUUUGACGUUACCGACAGAAUAAGCACCGGCUAACUCUGUGCCAGCAGCCGCGGUAAUACAGAGGGUGCAAGCGUUAAUCGGAAUUACUGGGCGUAAAGCGCGCGUAGGUGGUUCGUUAAGUUGGAUGUGAAAGCCCCGGGCUCAACCUGGGAAAUGCAUCCAAAACUGGCGAGCUAGAGUACGGUAGAGGGUGGGGGAAUUUCCUGUGUAGCGGUGAAAUGCGUAGAUAUAGGAAGGAACACCAGUGGCGAAGGCGACCACCCGGACUGAUACUGACACUGAGGUGCGAAAGCGUGGGGAGCAAACAGGAUUAGAUACCCUGGUAGUCCACGCCGUAAACGAUGUCAAAUAGCCGUUGGAAUCCUUGAGAUUUUAGUGGCGCAGCUAACGCAUUAAGUUGACCGCCUGGGGAGUACGGCCGCAAGGUUAAAAAUCAAAAGAAUUGACGGGGGCCCGCACAAGCGGUGGAGCAUGUGGUUUAAUUUGAAGCAACGCGAAGAACCUUACCAGGCCUUGACAUGCAGAGAACUUCCAGAGAUGGAUUGGGCCUCG
RNAcentral lists this ribosomal RNA (943 nucleotides) under Pseudomonas sp. s136. Its description in RNAcentral is "bacterial SSU rRNA". It matches the Rfam family "Bacterial small subunit ribosomal RNA", at positions 77 to 1020 of the family's 1533-position model. Lineage: Bacteria; Pseudomonadati; Pseudomonadota; Gammaproteobacteria; Pseudomonadales; Pseudomonadaceae. The record is from RNAcentral.